AGUGAACGCUGGCGGUAGGCCUAACACAUGCAAGUCGAACGGCAGCACAGUAAGAGCUUGCUCUUACGGGUGGCGAGUGGCGGACGGGUGAGGAAUACAUCGGAAUCUACUUUUUCGUGGGGGAUAACGUAGGGAAACUUACGCUAAUACAGCAUACGACCUACGGGUGAAAGCAGUGGAUCUUCGCACCUUGCGCGAUUGAAUGAGCCGAUGUCGGAUUAGCUAGUUGGCGGGGUAAAGGCCCACCAAGGCGACGAUCCGUAGCGGGUCUGAGAGGAUGAUCGGCCACACUGGAACUGAGACACGGUCCAGACUCCUACGGGAGGCAGCAGUGGGGAAUAUUGGACAAUGGGCGCAAGCCUGAUCCAGCCAUACCGCGUGGGUGAAGAAGGCCUUCGGGUUGUAAAGCCCUUUUGUUGGGAAAGAAAAGCAGCAGGUUAAUACCCCGCUGUUCUGACGGUACCCAAAGAAUAAGCACCGGCUAACUUCGUG
This 492-nucleotide ribosomal RNA is filed under the name uncultured bacterium. Its description in RNAcentral is "partial 16S ribosomal RNA". It matches the Rfam family "Bacterial small subunit ribosomal RNA", at positions 29 to 507 of the family's 1533-position model. The record is from RNAcentral.